RNAcentral lists this ribosomal RNA (990 nucleotides) under Salmonella enterica subsp. enterica serovar Virchow. RNAcentral describes it as "partial 23S ribosomal RNA". It matches the Rfam family "Bacterial large subunit ribosomal RNA", at positions 161 to 1191 of the family's 2925-position model. Lineage: Bacteria; Pseudomonadati; Pseudomonadota; Gammaproteobacteria; Enterobacterales; Enterobacteriaceae. The record is from RNAcentral.
AAUCCAUAGGUUAAUGAGGCGAACCGGGGGAACUGAAACAUCUAAGUACCCCGAGGAAAAGAAAUCAACCGAGAUUCCCCCAGUAGCGGCGAGCGAACGGGGAGGAGCCCAGAGCCUGAAUCAGCAUGUGUGUUAGUGGAAGCGUCUGGAAAGGCGCGCGAUACAGGGUGACAGCCCCGUACACAAAAGCGCAUGUGCUGUGAGCUCGAUGAGUAGGGCGGGACACGUGGUAUCCUGUCUGAAUAUGGGGGGACCAUCCUCCAAGGCUAAAUACUCCUGACUGACCGAUAGUGAACCAGUACCGUGAGGGAAAGGCGAAAAGAACCCCGGCGAGGGGAGUGAAAAAGAACCUGAAACCGUGUACGUACAAGCAGUGGGAGCACCCUUCGGGGUGUGACUGCGUACCUUUUGUAUAAUGGGUCAGCGACUUAUAUUCUGUAGCAAGGUUAACCGAAUAGGGGAGCCGGAGGGAAACCGAGUCUUAAUUGGGCGUUAAGUUGCAGGGUAUAGACCCGAAACCCGGUGAUCUAGCCAUGGGCAGGUUGAAGGUUGGGUAACACUAACUGGAGGACCGAACCGACUAAUGUUGAAAAAUUAGCGGAUGACCUGUGGCUGGGGGUGAAAGGCCAAUCAAACCGGGAGAUAGCUGGUUCUCCCCGAAAGCUAUUUAGGUAGCGCCUCGUGAAUUCAUCUCCGGGGGUAGAGCACUGUUUCGGCUAGGGGGCCAUCCCGGCUUACCAACCCGAUGCAAACUGCGAAUACCGGAGAAUGUUAUCACGGGAGACACACGGCGGGUGCUAACGUCCGUCGUGAAGAGGGAAACAACCCAGACCGCCAGCUAAGGUCCCAAAGUCAUGGUUAAGUGGGAAACGAUGUGGGAAGGCCCAGACAGCCAGGAUGUUGGCUUAGAAGCAGCCAUCAUUUAAAGAAAGCGUAAUAGCUCACUGGUCGAGUCGGCCUGCGCGGAAGAUGUAACGGGGCUAAACCAUG